Molecule: ribosomal RNA, 1036 nt
Filed under: Neolyngbya arenicola BLCC-M52
Lineage: Bacteria; Bacillati; Cyanobacteriota; Cyanophyceae; Oscillatoriales; Sirenicapillariaceae
Description: bacterial SSU rRNA
Rfam family: Bacterial small subunit ribosomal RNA
Source: RNAcentral
UUGGGUUGUAAACCCCUUUUCUCAGGGAAGAAGAAAGUGACGGUACCUGAGGAAUCAGCCUCGGCUAACUCCGUGCCAGCAGCCGCGGUAAUACGGAGGAGGCAAGCGUUAUCCGGAAUGAUUGGGCGUAAAGCGUCCGCAGGUGGCUGGUCAAGUCUGCUGUUAAAUCCAGUAGCUUAACUACUGAGGGGCAGUGGAAACUGACGAGCUAGAGUGCGGUAGGGGCAGAGGGAAUUCCUGGUGUAGCGGUGAAAUGCGUAGAGAUCAGGAAGAACACCGGUGGCGAAAGCGCUCUGCUGGGCCGCAACUGACACUCAGGGACGAAAGCUAGGGGAGCGAAUGGGAUUAGAUACCCCAGUAGUCCUAGCUGUAAACGAUGGAGACUAGGUGUUGCCUGUAUCGACCCGGGCAGUGCCGUAGCUAACGCGUUAAGUCUCCCGCCUGGGGAGUACGCACGCAAGUGUGAAACUCAAAGGAAUUGACGGGGGCCCGCACAAGCGGUGGAGUAUGUGGUUUAAUUCGAUGCAACGCGAAGAACCUUACCAGGGCUUGACAUGUCCGGAACUCUGGGGAAACUCGGAGGUGCCUUCGGGAGCCGGAACACAGGUGGUGCAUGGCUGUCGUCAGCUCGUGUCGUGAGAUGUUGGGUUAAGUCCCGCAACGAGCGCAACCCUCGUUCUUAGUUGCCAGCAUUAAGUUGGGCACUCUAGGGAGACUGCCGGUGACAAACCGGAGGAAGGUGGGGAUGACGUCAAGUCAUCAUGCCCCUUACGUCCUGGGCGACACACGUACUACAAUGGGAAGGACAAAGGGCAGCCAACUUGCGAAAGAGAGCUAAUCCCAGAAACCUUUCCUCAGUUCAGAUUGCAGGCUGCAACUCGCCUGCAUGAAGGAGGAAUCGCUAGUAAUCGCAGGUCAGCAUACUGCGGUGAAUCCGUUCCCGGGCCUUGUACACACCGCCCGUCACACCAUGGAAGUUAACCAUGCCCGAAGUCAUUACUCUAACCCUUAUGGGAGGGGAAUGCCGAAGGCAGGG